RNAcentral lists this ribosomal RNA (253 nucleotides) under uncultured bacterium. RNAcentral's name for it is "partial 16S ribosomal RNA". It matches the Rfam family "Bacterial small subunit ribosomal RNA", at positions 524 to 776 of the family's 1533-position model. The record is from RNAcentral.
UACGUAGGGUGCGAGCGUUGUCCGGAGUUACUGGGCGUAAAGGGCACGCAGGCGGUCAUGUAAGUCUGUUCUGACAGCUCCUGGCUCAACCGGGAGAGGCGAACGGAAACUGUAUGGCUUGAGGACUUCAGAGGGACACGGAAUUCCGGGUGGAGUGGUGAAAUGCGUAGAUAUCAGGAGGAACACCGGUGGCGAAGGCGGCUUUCUGGACAGUUACCGACGCUGAGGCACGAAAGCUAGGGGAGCAAACAGG